RNAcentral lists this ribosomal RNA (407 nucleotides) under uncultured bacterium. Its description in RNAcentral is "bacterial SSU rRNA". It matches the Rfam family "Bacterial small subunit ribosomal RNA", at positions 355 to 776 of the family's 1533-position model. The record is from RNAcentral.
UGGGGGAUAUUGCACAAUGGAGGAAACUCUGAUGCAGCGACGCCGCGUGAGGGAAGAAGGUCUUCGGAUUGUAAACCUCUGUCUUUGGGGAAGAAAGAAAUGACGGUACCCAAAGAGGAAGCCACGGCUAACUACGUGCCAGCAGCCGCGGUAAUACGUAGGUGGCGAGCGUUGUCCGGAAUUACUGGGUGUAAAGGGUGCGCAGGCGGGAUGUCAAGUUGGAUGUGAAAUCUCUAGGCUUAACCUAGAGUGUGCAUUCAAAACUGGCGUUCUUGAGUGAGGCAGAGGCAGGCGGAAUUCCCGGUGUAGCGGUGAAAUGCGUAGAGAUCGGGAGGAACACCAGUGGCGAAGGCGGUCUGCUGGGCCUUAACUGACGCUGAGGCACGAAAGCAUGGGUAGCAAACAGG